GGCCAAGCGGAGGAAGGCGCGCGGUGGAUGCCUAGGCGAUGGAGGCCGAGGAAGGACGCGGCAAGCCGGCGAAACGCCCCGGGGAGCGGGCUAGCGCGCGGGGAUCCGGGGGUAUCCGAAUGGGGCAACCCCGCCCGGGUGAUGCCGGGCGACGGCAGGGGGGCGACCCUGCCGAGGGCACCGGGGGAACUGAACCAUCUUAGUACCCCGAGGAACGGAGAACGACUCCCCAAGUAGCGGCGAGCGAACGGGGACCAGCCCAAACCGUCACCGCUAGGUGGCCGGCAGGCCGAUGCGGUGGCGGGGUUAGAGGACCGUCCGGGCCGGGCUGCCGACCGGCCACCAAGUGAGCAACCGUCCGGCCAGCCGAACCGACCUGGAACGGCGGGCCAGAGGGGGUGAGAGCCCCGUAGGCGACGGUCGGACGGCUUGGGGGCGGCACCUGAGUACUGCCGGGCACGGGAAACCCGGUGGGAAGGACGGGCGACCACGCUCGAAGGCUAAGUACCUCCAUCGACCGAUAGUGGACCAGUACCGUGAGGGAACGGUGAAAAGCACCCCGGGAGGGGAGUGAAACAGGACCUGAAACCGCGUGCCGACAAGCAGUCGGAGGGCGGGGGGAGCCCCGUCUGACGGCGUGCUUAUUGAAGAAUGAGCCGGCGAGUGACACCUCGGUAGCCGCAGGCUAAGGCUGGGGGCAGCCGGAGCCGGAGCGAAAGCGAGUCUGAACAGGGCGUGGUCUUGGUCUGGGGACAGGCCGAGGCCGGUUGCCGGGGGUCGACCCGAAACCGCGUGAGCUACCCAUGGCCAGGCUGAAGGUCCGCUAACCCGGACUGGAGGGCCGAACCUGCGGGAGUUGCAAAUCCUUGGGAUGAGCUGUGGGUAGGGGUGAAAUGCCAAGCGAACGCGGAGAUAGCUGGUUCUCCCCGAAAUGCCUUGAGGGGCAGCGUUCGGGCGGGAGCUGGGCCGCGGAGGUAGAGCGCUGGUUGGGCUAGGGGGCUGACCGCUUACCGAACCCAGCCAAACUGCGAAUGCCGCGGCCGGGCCCGAGCAGUGAGACGGCGGGGGCUAAGCUUCGUCGUCGAGAGGGAAACAGCCCAGACCGCCAGCUAAGGUCCCGAAGUGACGGCUCAGUGGGAAAGGAUGUCCGUGCGCGCAGACAGCCAGGAGGUUGGCUUAGAAGCAGCCUGCCUUCAAAGAGUGCGUAAUAGCUCACUGGUCGAGUGCGCGGGCGCCGACAAUGGAGCGGGGCUAAGCCGUCCACCGAAGCUGCGGACCCUGGUCCUGUGGGGGCCGGGGUGGUAGGGGAGCGUUCCCGCCAGCGGCGAAGCCAUCUCGGAAGGGGUGGUGGAGCGGCGGGAAGAGCGAAUGCCGGCAUGAGUAGCGUAACGGCCGAUGAGAAAUCGGCCCACCGAAAACCCGAGGGUUCCUCCGGUAGGGUCAUCCGCGGAGGGUUAGGCGGGCCUAAGCCGCAGCCGCAAGGCGAAGGCGAUGGACAGCCGGUUAGUAUUCCGGCCCCGCUCCUGGUGCGUGGAAGCGGAUGGGGACCCCGAGCGGCAGGCUGGGCGUGCCGACUGGACAGGGCACGUGCCUGGGGUGUGGCCCCCUGGUGAGGGGGGAGAAGGCCCUGGGCGGAGCGGCGACGGUAGUCAAGGCGACCUGGCUGGGCCUGGGCGGGCGAGAAAAGCCAUCCGGGGAGUGCUGGGAGCGCCCGUACCGCAAACCGACACUGGUGGGUGGGCACAAGGGUGCCAAGGUGGGCGAGAGAACCUUCGUCAAGGAACUCGGCAAUCUCACCCCGUAACUUCGGGAGAAGGGGUGCCCCUGCCCGUGAACCUGCGUGCUGGGGGAGCGGGUGGGGGCCGCAGUGAGCAGGCCCAGGCGACUGUUUACCAAAAACACAGGUCUCCGCCAACCCGGAAGGGGACGUAUGGGGGCUGACGCCUGCCCAGUGCCGGAAGGUUAAGGGGAGGGGUUGAGGCCCUGAACCGAAGCCCCGGUGAACGGCGGCCGUAACUAUAACGGUCCUAAGGUAGCGAAAUUCCUUGUCGGGUAAGUUCCGACCCGCACGAAUGGCGUAACGAUCUGGGCGCUGUCUCGACGAAGGACUCGGCGAAAUUGCAGGGGCCGUGAAGAUGCGGCCUACCCGCGACAGGACAAAAAGACCCCGUGGAGCUUUACUGCAGCUUGCCGUUGGCCAUGGGCCAUCGCUGCGGAGGAUAGGUGGGAGCCGGGGAAGCCGCCCUUGCGGGGGUGGUGGAGGCGACGGUGAAAUACCACUCUGCGGUGGUCUGUGGUCUCACCCCCGGUGGCGCGGGGGGACCGCGGCUGGUGGGCAGUUUGACUGGGGCGGUCGCCUCCCAAAGGGUAACGGAGGCGCCCAAUGGUUCCCUCAGGGCGGAUGGAAAUCGCCCGCGUGCGUGCAUGGGCAGAAGGGAGCUUGACUGCGAGGCGGACGUGCCGAGCAGGGGCGAAAGCCGGGCCAAGUGAUCCUACGGUCCCGUGUGGAAGGGCCGUGGCUUACCGGAUAAAAGCUACCCCGGGGAUAACAGGCUGAUCUCCCCCAAGAGUCCACAUCGACGGGGAGGUUUGGCACCUCGAUGUCGGCUCGUCGCAUCCUGGGGCUGGAGUCGGUCCCAAGGGUUGGGCUGUUCGCCCAUUAAAGCGGUACGCGAGCUGGGUUCAGAACGUCGUGAGACAGUUCGGUCUCUAUCCGUCGUGGGCGCAGGACGCUUGCGGGGGGCUCCCCCUAGUACGAGAGGACCGGGGGGGACGGUCCGCUGGUGUGCCGGUUGUCGUGCCAACGGCAGUGCCGGGUAGCCAGGACCGGAACGGAGAAGCGCUGACCGCAUCUAAGCGCGAAACCGGCCCCAAGAUGAGGCGUCCCACCUCGAGAUGAGGGUAAGGCCCCAGCGAGACCAGCUGGUGGAUAGGCGGCAGGUGGACACGCGGCAACGCGUGCAGCUAAGCCGUCCUAAUGGCCGAGGGCUUGGCCC
RNAcentral lists this ribosomal RNA (2996 nucleotides) under Dehalococcoidia bacterium. Its description in RNAcentral is "23S ribosomal RNA". It matches the Rfam family "Bacterial large subunit ribosomal RNA". The record is from RNAcentral. Lineage: Bacteria; Bacillati; Chloroflexota; Dehalococcoidia.